AAAGCAAACAAGUAGAGUGAAAAUUAGGAUAACAAAGUGAAACUGUUCCAAGUCCAAAUAUUUGUGCCUGGUCAGAUCAUUUUUUUUCACAACUCUACUGUAAAAGGCAAAUAUCGUGGUCCUCCUUUCUAUUCACGCUAUUCUAAGCUGCCUGAUUCUGAUUCCAUCCCUUAUAUCCUCUAGCACACAUCAUAUUUUUUUCAUAAACUCCUUCAUCUUAUUAUUCAAGUAAAAACAAUGAAUAAUUUUCUUUCAGGUUAUUGAGCUGAAUGAAGUCACAGAGGGGUCUAAUGAAUGCCAGAACCUCCGAGAAGAAAAGAAUGGAAGCAGAAUCUUCUCAUUUCAUUAGCAGCAAGUCUCCAGAUGGUGUCAUGGUGUUUCAGACUGAAAGGAGGUGCUUUCAAAUACACAGCCUUUAAUCUGGAGAAAACGUACAUCCAGUUUGUAGCCCUCACUGCUUUUACAGUGGCUAACACUGCUGCUUGCAGGUAACAGUUUUUUAACUCAUCUGAACCUUUCCAGACACUUCCUUCACUUUUAAUAUGCCAUAGGUAAAUUGCACCCUUUUUUAUCCUUGCUUCUGCUUGUAUAUCAUCAUGCCACCAUGGAUGUGUAACCAUUAGCCAAUAAAUUAACAUUACUUCUGCA
Molecule: long non-coding RNA, 648 nt
Filed under: Coturnix japonica (Japanese quail)
Lineage: Eukaryota; Metazoa; Chordata; Aves; Galliformes; Phasianidae
Description: lncRNA (ENSCJPG00005005645.1)
Source: RNAcentral